Molecule: long non-coding RNA, 498 nt
Organism: Asterias rubens (European starfish)
Lineage: Eukaryota; Metazoa; Echinodermata; Asteroidea; Forcipulatida; Asteriidae
Exons: 3
Source: RefSeq, a predicted model, not a curated record
CAUAAUGACAAAACUUUCGAGCGGUCGCCAUUUAAUUCCUCGGUUAAGGCGACUAAAAACUUGAACAUAGCUCGUUUUGACAGCUUUCAGAACUGACAGUUUGCUCAUAGUUGACUUAUGGAAACAGGACAAUGUGCUUUUGAUAUAUGAGGAUACUGUUCAGACAGUGAGGGCACCUCUGGACUCUGCAUGAUGGGAAACUGUUGACAAAGAAGCCAAGAUUCAUUAAAAGUUCAAGACCAGCAAAGGCAAUGCUUCUUUAACCAGGGACAAGAACUCAUCAGGAGGAUUUGAACCUUUUCAUGGAAGCACCAUUUGUAAAUCUCUUGAGUAAUGUUGGUUCUAAACCAAUGGUUGAAAACACCUGUUUUGAUCAGUACACUACUCACAAAAGAUUUUCACCUUGCACACAGAUCACCCGAAGAAGCUAUCAGAAGGAACAUCAGCCACCAAUGCUAUUGAUGUUUGAAUUCAAUUGUAUGACACAAUAGUAAACUU